Long non-coding RNA from Chrysemys picta bellii (western painted turtle), 1658 nucleotides. The record is from Ensembl. Lineage: Eukaryota; Metazoa; Chordata; Testudines; Emydidae.
GUGAGCUGGCCUGUCACUCCCAGACUUGUGGCAAAUUGUUUUCUAGCACCUGGGAGAAGUUGUUGUGUCCAGAUUUGUACCUGUAUGCAUGAGGACAGAACCCAGGGAAAAUUUGACUCAUCUGGUGAACAGUCUCCCCAUUAAAAUACUGAUUUCCCCUCCCCUUCCCUUAGUUAAAGCGAUACAUUUCUAGUCUGAUUUGCAUUCAAUAGCCCUUUGCUGUCAUAUCUCAGCAGUCAUGAAGCACAAGCCUUUGAAUCGUUAGCUGUGAAACUUGCUUGACUCCAUUCACAUAAAAAAAAUCCAAAUCAAAUUAACACCCACUAGCAAAGCAAUUUUACCUAAAAAUGAUCUGGUACAUAAAACUACAAUUAACCACGUUGGUACUGAAAUGACUGUGUGCACUAAAACAGUGUACAAUAACACACACAGCUUCCACUGUUGAGUUCUCUAGAGCUGGUUAGCUCAUGUGGACCCCCUUGCCUUCUUCUGGAAGAAAUCUGAACUACUUAACUAUGUGUCAUAUGCUCUAUAGUACUAAAACCUAACUGAGAUUCUCCAUUAAUUCAGCUGGCAGGAGCCUGUGGUUCUGAAGCAGGAGAAGGGGGUGCUAUAUCUCAUGCUGCCAGGAACUUCCAAGUAUCCCUGGCAUGCAGCGGGUGACAUGCAUGAAGUUCUUAUGUGGCUACAGAUGGGUGAGAGUAUACGGAUUAAUAAUCUACAACAGGAAAGCAAAACAACAUUCAGAUCUCCUAUACUGUUGUGUUCUGAAUGAUUAGGAUGGUUUUGGAAGUGGGAUUUGGAAAGAACGUGCACUAUUGCAAUUUUCAGACAUCCAUCGAGCUCAGGAAGGACCUGGGUCGGUCGCAAGAGAUGGAGAGAGAAAACUAAUGUUUCCCUGGACACCCAUAGUUGUAACUCGUCAAUUUCAGCCUGGGGAGAUGCACAACGUGAACUGGGCAUUGAUGCAGGUCAAUGGACACAGAGUGCAGGGAAUGUGAUAUGCAUUUGCUUCCAUCACCUUCCAAAUGCUGCCCUCCUCCUAGCAGAGAGCAACCAGGGCUCUUUCAGUUGGCUGAAGAAUGGUGAGUCACGUUGAAAUCUGAAGGGUUGCACCUUUCAUUCAAAUAACAUCAGGCACAUUUAUUUAUUUUUAUUUGUAUUGGAACAGACUUCAGGAGCCAAAGGAUGGCUCAGGGGUCAGAGUGCUGGCAUGGGACUUGGUACAGCAUCACUAGUGUCCCUUUUCUGCCUCACCCUUCCUGAUCAAAAGUAUUUAGGUGCCUGUUUAUUCCCUCUGAAGCAUCUGGCAUUGGCCACUGUCGGAAGACAGGAUCUUGGGCUAGAUGGACCAUUGCUCUGACCCAGUGUGGCUGUUCUUAUGUUUCUUAACUCCUAUUGAUUUCAAUGGGAUCAGGGCCUUUUUCUUUCUAUGCCUUAUUUCUGUAACACGGGGCUUCCAGCACUUCUCAAGGGUGUUGUGAGGAUAACUAUAUUAAAGAAUUUGUGAAGUGCUCAGAUACUAUGGGAAUGGAGGCUAUGAUUGUACCUAAGGGUAUGUCUACACUAGUUAGUUAGUUAGUAUGCGUUGAGGUUGUGCAAACACAGAGUGGGAAUAUAAUCCUGGCCCUGAAGACCUGACUGCCUGAUUCAAACCU